This is a long non-coding RNA of Alligator mississippiensis (American alligator), 408 nucleotides long. RefSeq lists it as uncharacterized. The record is from RefSeq and is a predicted model, not a curated record. The transcript is spliced from 4 exons. Lineage: Eukaryota; Metazoa; Chordata; Crocodylia; Alligatoridae.
GGAAGUGAUGAGCAACCCUGUGGAGUCCCGUUUCUCUGGUACCGGACUGCAAAUCCCAGAGACUUUGAGGAGAGCAGGAAAAUGGCAUCCAGAAGCCCCGGUUAGAAACAAGCCCAAUGGGAUGUUAGGGAAGAUGCCCAACAGUCUUCCUGGACAGGUGCCAUUCAUGGAAAAUAGACCCGAUGAAGAAUGUAUUUGCAUUUGAAAGGUUGCCUAACUUUAUGCCAGCCAUGAAGUUGGUCCAAAAGAAGAUAUCACCCCGCUCCCCAAAAUCCUUGCCUCUUGUACACUAUCCUUACUACUAAUAUAUUACAUACAAUUAGCACUCAUGCUUAAUUAAAAAAAUAAAUACUUGUCUGCCUCAUACACAUGUUAACAGAGUGUAAUACAUACUGUAGGACUAGGAAA